This is a non-coding RNA of Potamilus streckersoni, 74 nucleotides long. Lineage: Eukaryota; Metazoa; Mollusca; Bivalvia; Unionida; Unionidae. The record is from the annotation of a GenBank genome assembly.
CACUCUGGUGGCUUAGUGGUUAGAACAUCAGCCUCAGAUGUGGGAGGUCAUAGGUUCAAUCCCCAGUCGAGUCA